GUGCUUGCUUUGGCAGCAUAUAUACUAAAACUGGAAUAAUAUAGAGAAAAUUAGCUUGGCCCCUACACAAGGAUGACUUGCAAAUUCAUGAAGCAUUUCAUAUUAAA
This 107-nucleotide small nuclear RNA is filed under the name Myotis davidii. The record is from RNAcentral. Lineage: Eukaryota; Metazoa; Chordata; Mammalia; Chiroptera; Vespertilionidae.